RNAcentral lists this ribosomal RNA (490 nucleotides) under Enterococcus faecium. RNAcentral's name for it is "bacterial SSU rRNA". It matches the Rfam family "Bacterial small subunit ribosomal RNA", at positions 38 to 497 of the family's 1533-position model. The record is from RNAcentral. Lineage: Bacteria; Bacillati; Bacillota; Bacilli; Lactobacillales; Enterococcaceae.
GGCGGCGUGCCUAAUACAUGCAAGUCGUACGCUUCUUUUUCCACCGGAGCUUGCUCCACCGGAAAAAGAGGAGUGGCGAACGGGUGAGUAACACGUGGGUAACCUGCCCAUCAGAAGGGGAUAACACUUGGAAACAGGUGCUAAUACCGUAUAACAAUCGAAACCGCAUGGUUUUUGAUUUGAAAGGCGCUUUCGGGUGUUCGCUGAUGGAUGGACCCGCGGUGCAUUAGCUAGUUGGUGAGGUAACGGCUCACCAAGGCCACGAUGCAUAGCCGACCUGAGAGGGUGAUCGGCCACAUUGGGACUGAGACACGGCCCAAACUCCUACGGGAGGCAGCAGUAGGGAAUCUUCGGCAAUGGACGAAAGUCUGACCGAGCAACGCCGCGUGAGUGAAGAAGGUUUUCGGAUCGUAAAACUCUGUUGUUAGAGAAGAAUAAGGAUGAGAGUAACUGUUCAUCCCUUGACGGUAUCUAACCAGAAAGCCACGGC